RNAcentral lists this ribosomal RNA (253 nucleotides) under uncultured bacterium. RNAcentral describes it as "partial 16S ribosomal RNA". It matches the Rfam family "Bacterial small subunit ribosomal RNA", at positions 524 to 776 of the family's 1533-position model. The record is from RNAcentral.
UACGAAGGGGGCGAGCGUUGUUCGGAUUUACUGGGCGUAAAGCGCGUGUAGGCUGCUCUGCAAGUCGGGUGUGAAAGCCCCGGGCUCAACCUGGGAAGUGCACUCGAAACUGCAGAGCUCGAGUCCUGGAGAGGAAGGCGGAAUUCUCGGUGUAGAGGUGAAAUUCGUAGAUAUCGAGAGGAACACCGGUGGCGAAGGCGGCCUUCUGGACAGUGACUGACGCUGAGACGCGAAAGCGUGGGGAGCAAACAGG